Molecule: ribosomal RNA, 370 nt
Filed under: uncultured bacterium
Lineage: Bacteria
Description: bacterial SSU rRNA
Rfam family: Bacterial small subunit ribosomal RNA
Source: RNAcentral
ACUCCUACGGGAGGCAGCAGUAGGGAAUUUUCCGCAAUGGACGAAAGUCUGACGGAGCAAUGCCGCGUGAGUGAUGAAGGUUUUCGAAUCGUAAAGCUCUGUUGUAAGGGAAGAAUAGCAAGAAUAGGAAUGAUUCUUGUUCGCGGUACCUUACCAGAAAGCCACGGCUAACUACGUGCCAGCAGCCGCGGUAAUACGUAGGUGGCAAGCGUUAUCCGGAAUUAUUGGGCGUAAAGCGCAUGUAGGCGGCUUUUUAAGUCUGAUGUGAAAGCCAGUGGCUCAACCACUGAAUUGCAUUGGAUACUGGAAAGCUAGAAUCUUGGAGAGGUAAGUGGAAUUUCAUGUGUAGCGGUGGAAUGCGUAGAUAUAU